GUGAACGCUGGCGGUAGGCCUAACACAUGCAAGUCGCACGGCAGCACAGUAAGAGCUUGCUCUUACGGGUGGCGAGUGGCGGACGGGUGAGGAAUACAUCGGAAUCUACUUUUUCGUGGGGGAUAACGUAGGGAAACUUACGCUAAUACCGCAUACGACCUACGGGUGAAAGCAGGGGAUCUUCGGACCUUGCGCGAUUGAAUGAGCCGAUGUCGGAUUAGCUAGUUGGCGGGGUAAAGGCCCACCAAGGAGACGAUCAGUAGCUGGUCUGAGAGGAUGAUCAGCCACACUGGAACUGAGACACGGUCCAGACUCCUACGGGAGGCAGCAGUGGGGAAUAUUGGACAAUGGGCGCAAGCCUGAUCCAGCCAUACCGCGUGGGUGAAGAAGGCCUUCGGGUUGUAAAGCCCUUUUGUUGGGAAAGAAAAGCGGCAGGUUAAUACCCCGCUGUUCUGACGGUACCCAAAGAAUAAGCACCGGCUAACUUCGUG
RNAcentral lists this ribosomal RNA (491 nucleotides) under uncultured bacterium. Its description in RNAcentral is "partial 16S ribosomal RNA". It matches the Rfam family "Bacterial small subunit ribosomal RNA", at positions 29 to 507 of the family's 1533-position model. The record is from RNAcentral.